AGCAGCCGCGGUAAUUCCAGCUCCAAUAGCGUAUAUUAAAGUUGUUGCAGUUAAAAAGCUCGUAGUUGAACUUCAGGCCUGGCUGGGCGGUCCGCCUCACGGCGUGUACUGUCUGGCUGGGUCUUACCUCUUGGUGAGCCGGCGUGGCCUUUAUUGGUUGCGUCGGGGAACCAGGACUUUUACCUUGAGAAAAUUAGAGUGUUCAAAGCAGGCCUACGCCUGAAUACAUUAGCAUGGAAUAAUAAAUAGGACGUGCGGUUCUAUUUUGUUGGUUUCUAGAGUCGCCGUAAUGAUUAAUAGGGAUAGUUGGGGGCAU
RNAcentral lists this ribosomal RNA (316 nucleotides) under uncultured Basidiomycota. RNAcentral's name for it is "SSU rRNA". It matches the Rfam family "Eukaryotic small subunit ribosomal RNA", at positions 569 to 891 of the family's 1831-position model. The record is from RNAcentral. Lineage: Eukaryota; Fungi; Basidiomycota.